GCCAGUGGCAAAGAGGGCCCACACGCUCUGUGGAGCACGGGAGUGAUGUGCCUUGGAGAGUGUGGUCCAGCAGCGGGCCUGGGAUGAAGGCGCCCAUGGGGAAGGGCUGUGGAAAGAAACAGUUCCACGUAUGUGUCAGUUGGGACUGGUGCUUGCAGCUUAAAUUGAUUCAAGGAAAAUAAAAAACAAAACAAACCAACAAAAUAAAAAUGAUUGUGAGUGUGUGGAAGGGGUCAUUUAUUAAUGCUAUGAAAAAUUACAUGAGGUCAAAAGGACUUUGUUUUUCUUAGUCUUUGGGCAGCACUUUCUUGUGCUGGUUGCUCCCAGGGGCAGGUUUUCCCUGCAUAAUGGUUCCCAAGGGUGCUCAGAUUCCAUCCUGUAGGGAGAAAGGCCUUUGCUUUUUCAAUGGUCCAAGCUAAAGUCUUGAAUUGGGCUUUACUGGCAGUCCUGGGUUCUGUGCUUCCCCCAAACUGGGGUUCAGGUCAGGCCCACCCAAGUCCAUAGCCUGAGAGUAAGGGAGGGGCUUCACUCAGAGUGGGGACAAUCUCAUGGGAUCACGAUGGCUUCAGAUGGGCAACUUUCUGUUCUGUUGAAUAAUGAUCUAUAGUCAAGAGCUUGUGGAUCACACAGUGGUCACCCAAAGUAUUCUGGACCUCACAUUUCCUUUCUGCUCUGUAAUAAGCUUGGAUUGGCAAUUCAGUUCCCUGACAGUCUCAUUCUAACUGGUGAUUUUGGAUUUUUUUAAAAAAUAAGUUAGGAAUACUGAUAAAUACAGUGUAUGUUAUAGAGAGGAACAUAAAGUAGUAUUCUUUUUCUUUUUUUAAUGUAAGUUUCUUAUUGGAAAGCCAGGUUUGAGUGUCUAAGAUUUCCACCACCCAACAGGUGACACCCACCAUUUCUUGUAACCUGUUGAGAGCCACAGCCGAAGGGGCCCCAGCAAACUCCCAGCUGCCAGCAAACUUCCAGCUGCCAGCUGAUGAUUGGCUCACAGCGGCCCCAGCAAACUUCUAGCUGCCAACUGAUUGGCUCCUCUGUGGUGAUGCUCAUUGGGCUGUUUCCCCGCCCUUUCAGACCACUGAGCUGCUCAUUGGGGGACCUUUUUUGGCUCCUUCCUGGCAACCCAGCCAAUCGGCCUCAAGAGCAGGAGGAGUGGGGGAGGUGGAGAGGCUUGUGGGAAGCCGGUGGUGGCAGUUGGGCUCUGAGGGUUUUCCUGAGGAGCUGUGUGGUUUGGUGUGUGUGUUCUAAAAAUAAAGUUCGUUUCUUUUGACAAGUGGCUCCUGAAUUGGGCCCAGCCAGACUGCGGCAGUAACCCAAAGUGGUUAUAUACACAAACCCAGGGACAAGUGUUUCUCCAUCCCCUCCUGCUGUGCUUCCUUCCUGGGGUGAGGCCACCAGAUAGAAAAGAUGAU
RNAcentral lists this long non-coding RNA (1409 nucleotides) under Marmota monax (woodchuck). The record is from RNAcentral. Lineage: Eukaryota; Metazoa; Chordata; Mammalia; Rodentia; Sciuridae.